Molecule: ribosomal RNA, 247 nt
Filed under: uncultured Azoarcus sp.
Lineage: Bacteria; Pseudomonadati; Pseudomonadota; Betaproteobacteria; Rhodocyclales; Zoogloeaceae
Description: partial 16S ribosomal RNA
Rfam family: Bacterial small subunit ribosomal RNA
Source: RNAcentral
GUAGGGUGCGAGCGUUAAUCGGAAUUACUGGGCGUAAAGCGUGCGCAGGCGGUUGUGUAAGACAGGUGUGAAAUCCCCGGGCUUAACCUGGGAAUGGCGCUUGUGACUGCACGGCUAGAGUACGGCAGAGGGGGGUGGAAUUCCACGUGUAGCAGUGAAAUGCGUAGAGAUGUGGAGGAACACCGAUGGCGAAGGCAGCCCCCUGGGCCGAUACUGACGCUCAUGCACGAAAGCGUGGGGAGCAAAC